UACAGGGAACAAUUAAAAAGAGACGGAAGAGCGCUCUUGUCUUACUGAAUGGAUAAAGGGAAAGCUCUGCAGACGUCGUUCCAGAAGCUUAAUUUGAACCCUAAUUCCAAUAAGUCUACCAGUGCCCAUACUAUCCAAUCGCCCAUAUUAACAGUUGAGAAGCGAAAACCUGUUCCAACUUUGGUUACUUUAUGCAUUCAAGUAAUUGGAAGUCAUUACGCGCUGCCCGAUUUUUCAACGGCCAGAGUAAUCUCCACACCUACACACGUAACACACCCAGUCUACUCUGUCUUGAAGUCUAAUUUGGCCCCCUCUGUUCCGGUCGGAGCUCCGAAAGUUCCGGGACAAAGAUGGUUUGCUGAUUGGUGGCUGUUUUUCCAGGAGGAUUGAUGGUUACUUUGGAAGCGAGCAGUUCGUGAUGUUCCUAACGGGAAUUCUUUGCUCAUUCAUUUAAGCUUUAUUGUCUAAACGUCCGGAGUUAUGCUUGCAUGACUUUCGGUUAGAUGAUAAACUUUCUUGAAAGAAAGAAUCCCGGAUGCGGUUUAUUGUAUUUCGAUACAAUUCAUCUACGUAUAUGUAGACCUUACAAAAAAAAAAAAAAAAAAAGAAA
Molecule: long non-coding RNA, 610 nt
Organism: Daucus carota subsp. sativus
Lineage: Eukaryota; Viridiplantae; Streptophyta; Magnoliopsida; Apiales; Apiaceae
Exons: 2
Source: RefSeq, a predicted model, not a curated record